GGUUAAUGAUGAUUGUGUAUUCAAUUCUAAACUCUCGUGUUGAUAUUAUAAAACAUAUCGAGCUUUUUAACACUGACAACCU
RNAcentral lists this small nucleolar RNA (82 nucleotides) under Dictyostelium purpureum. The record is from RNAcentral. Lineage: Eukaryota; Evosea; Eumycetozoa; Dictyosteliales; Dictyosteliaceae.